This is a long non-coding RNA of Balaenoptera acutorostrata (minke whale), 2625 nucleotides long. RefSeq lists it as uncharacterized. The record is from RefSeq and is a predicted model, not a curated record. Lineage: Eukaryota; Metazoa; Chordata; Mammalia; Artiodactyla; Balaenopteridae. The transcript has 4 exons.
UUCUUUCUUUUUUUUUUUCUCUCACAAAUAAUUCUGCAAUAAUUAUCUUUAUACUUACAUCUUUGAGCACAUGUCUGGAAGAUCUGUGGGAUAAAUUCCUAGAAGUGAAAUUACUGGAUCUAAGUAAUUACUACUCUAAUCUUUGUGCACUACAAAAUUUGAUAGAUAUUGUCAAGUUGUCUUCUGAUCAGCAAAUUAUACUCCUAAUACCUUUACAUGAAAAUGCCAAGAGAGGAGGUUAUUUAAAAUUUUUGCCAAUCUGCUAAGCAUCCUCUUGUAAUUUUUAUUUGUUUUUAUCUUAAGAGUGAAAUUGAGCAUUUUAAAAAAUAUUUCAAAAAUCUCAAUUUUUUCCGUUUUGAGAAACAAUCUAUUAUAAAAUGGACUUUCAGAAGUGAAAAUGAUACAUCCGCUGGUUUUAUGAAGAUCCUUCUAGUCUCAUCACCAGGAACAACAAUAUUUCUGCCGUCACAAGCUGCCUGACAGCUCCGUUAUAGGAUGUACUCUGAUUUCUUUGUGGUUGUUCCUCAAUUCCACUGCACCAGAGCUAACAGGAGAAGACGCUUGUUUUCUUUAGUGUAUUUGGUAGUGGAAGGUGCCAAGGGGUCAAAAGAUGGAAGUGAUAUGAUCUUUCCUUAGAUGUAUUUUUUUUUUAUUUAUUAUUUUUGGCUGCAUUGGGUCUUCGUUGCUGCGCGCGGGCUUUCUCUAGUUGCAGCAAGCGGGGGCUACUCUUCGUUGGGGUGCACGAGCUUCUCACUGUGGUGGCUUCUCUUGUUGCAGAGCACGGGCUCUAGAGCGCAGGCUCAGUAGUUGGGGCGCACGGGCUUAGUUGCUCCACAGCAUGUGAGAUCUUCCCAGACCAGGGCUUGAACCCAUGUCCCCUGCAUUGGCAGGCAGAUUCUUAACCACUGCUCCACCAGGGAGGCCCCUUAGAUGCAUUUCUAGAGGCUGUCACCUGCUCAGAGAAUUGGAGGAUCCAAGAGCAAAAGAACUUGAAGAAAUCUUUUACAUCCAAGAUACCCCAGUGAAAUCAUUCAGAGUUCUGGAGGCUUGAAGUCCAAGAUCAAGGUGCUGGCAGAUUUGAUUCCUGGCUAGGCACUUUCAUAUUUCGUGUUAAAUCAUUCUUACUCAACCUUGAGAUGUGGAUAUGGAAAAGAACCGACACCUCAUAGCUAAUAAGAGGAGGAUCUGGGAGUUGAAAGCAGGCCUGUGUGACUUCAGAGUUUUGCUAUUUCUGCUGGCCUAUUCCAGGAAGAGCUUCAUCCUUUAAAACAGUGAGAUGGCCACCCCCGUCGUCCAGUCACUCUUUAAGGGAGCCCAGCCCUGACCAGAGCCUGUUUCCUGGUGAACCAGCUUUAACAUCUGACAAGGGCACCAUCAGGACAGGAACCCUAUUCAAGGAGAAACAGACCCCAGGUUCCUUUCCAGGCCACUGUCCAUGGCAAUCUCAGGAUUCCUUGGAAGGACAAGAUGUGGCUGUGUGGAUGGCAGUCAAGGAACGACACCCUGAUCUUUAGUGGCUGAGGCUAAUGACGCUGGUUCCUCACUGUUUUGUUUUUGUUCUUCUGCUGAGUUUAGAUUUUUAGAUGAAAGGUUUUUACUAAAAGCUGCUUCUCUCCUCCUCUGAGAACCAUCUGAAGCUCCAGAAGCUUCUUGCUGUGAAAAAGCUUGAUUCUGCUGCCACCUGCUGUCCUUAAGCCAGAAACAACUUUGGAAAAGAUGAGGUCUUGUUCAAAAGCCCUCGUCUGAAUAUGCUGUGCUUGUAUAUUUAGGCCUCUUCUUUAUGUCUAGGUUUUUAUGUUUUCUACCUAAAAGUUCUUAUCCCUUGAAAAUACAUCAUAAGAGUGAUCUGACUGAAGCUCUGUCAAUAGAAAAGUUCCGCAUAAACUUUUUGUUAUUUAAAUCAGAUCUCAGGCAUGGUAGCAGAGACAGUGGCCAGGGAUCCUCCACAAAUAGCUUGUCAGCAGAACAUGAGCACAUGUGAGAGACUUCCUAUCAGCCUCAGAAAUAACAGGGGAGAUGGAACAGCCUAAGAUCAUGCAGCUGUGCUGCUGGAGGCCAGGUGGUCAACACAAUCUAGCACUGAUGUUAACGUGGCCUCACUGGUGUCCAUGGGCGUGGGAGGCCUGGGAACAUUUGGCUUACAUGCACAUGGGGACACUGAAGCCCGGAGAGUUCAGGGAACUCGCCCAAAGGCAUCCAGCAAAUAAAUGGUAAGGAAGCCAAAUGUCCUGCACCUUUGCAACUUUUCGAAGUUGGCUCCCAAAUGGGCUCCUGUUAAGGAAAACCUGAAGAAGUGACUUCUUGAAUUUUUUCAUGAAGCAGGACCUGGAAAGGACACAGCAUGGACAGACUCUGUGUUGAGAUCAGCUUCACACAAUAGGACAUGCAAAGUCCCAGGAGGCCCACUAGGGAAAAAUACCCAGACCAGGUUUCUACCAGCUGUCCUGUAAAAGAGGCCUGCUCUGCACACGGGCCAGUCAGACUGGGACCCAUCUCUGCAGUCCCCAGGGGCAUGCAACCUGCCUGGACGUUCCUCUUGGAUUCAUUCGGGCCCAGAUAUCAUAAAGACCCUAAUAUUGCCUGCCCCAAGCUCAUGUCAGAAAUCUCAUACAUCAUUCUUUCAAU